AUGCCAACAGCAGUUGCCAAUAAACUGCUGCAAGGAGGUAACCAUCAGCCUGACAACUAGUUCAAGGUUUAAUUUUGUUUUCAUAACCUAAGCUUGAAGAGUGGUUACGUAUAUAUAUAACUUGAAAGCUGGCUUCUAGUACUUAAAAUCAAAACACAGUGAUCCGGUGAAACAAGGUGAUCCAAAGAAUGGUCUCACUUGCUGUGAGUAGGCUCAAAUGUGAUCCAGUUUCACAAACAGAAUCUAUCAUAGUAAUAGUGUUUAUAUUCAUGAUAGCUCCUUGACUAUACAGUACAUCCUGUUCUGAAGAUUUAUUAAUUAUUUUUUUACUCAUACCGGUUCUUUGUUUUAAGUGAAUGUCCCUAUAAUAUGAAAGCCCAUGGAUCAUAAUAAUAUUUUUGACGUGGUUUAUUCUUGCAUCUCACUGCAUGGUUUAAUGCACUUGCUUCGAUGGGAAAAUUCGGCUUAACACUUUGUCAAUAUUCUAACUCAUCUGAAACCAAGGUUAUUCUAGGACCAAAAUACCUGGGAUUAAAGAGGAGGGUUCAUGUGCUUAUAGACUGACACGUUCUCUAAAAAGCACAGUAAUUACAAAUUAAGUUCCCCCGGCUUAACAGAAGCAGAAAAUAGAUUAUGCAGACUCACAUAUUGUGCUUGCUUAUAACUUAGCUCCAGUACAUCCCCAUGUUUUAUUGGUCUUUCAGUCCCAGUUCUUUCACUGAAGAUUAGGAUCCCGUGAGGGCAAUAGCUAAUGAGCUGCAUAAUGGUCCCCUGCUUUCUCUUUAUGUUGGAUAACAUAGAAUAGUGAUGUCCUAGUGAUGAUGAGUGGUAUGGGGUGGGGAGUGGUUGAUGAAUUGAAGGUGUAUGGAGCCAAGAGAGGGUUGUCGCACUCAGGUCCUGUUCACAGGCUUCCCAUAGGCAUCUGGUUGAUCCCUGUGAGAACAGUUUGCUGGACUAGAUGGGCCUUCAGACUGAUCCAGCAUAGCUCUUCUUGUGUUCUCUGAGAGUCACAAACGUUGGAGAAAAUAAUAAUUUCAUACAACUGUAUUUUCAUUAUUCCAUUUUCUCUUGAGUCUGUGACCUAGAUAAACUAAAAGGGCCUGUACCUGCCUUUUACAGUACAGAAUGAGCUGCUUUUAGGUACUGUACAUAGUGAAUGUCUAAUCCAGAACACUGAGAAAAAUAAACUGUUAGACUCUAUGAUGGCCAUUGUAAGCAUGAAAAGAGAAUCAGCUAGACUUGGCAAUUGUGAUUAUUCUUGAAUUGUUUUGUAGACAGAUGAAAGAGGACAUUGGGGGGACAUGUAAUGAACAGGAAAAUUAGUCAAAGUCUUAAUAAAGAAAGACACUGAAAAAUGGUUAUAUGUAGUCACAUGUUAUUACGAUGAGGGCUGAUCUGAAGAGCCAAAUGAUUUUGAUUGGUUCAGGAUGAUGGCAUUGGGUUGCAAGUAUUAAGUUUGUUGUGAUCCUUUGAUUGGUGAAUAGAAAUGACAUGUGUAUUCUGGAAAUGUAUUUUUAAAAAUUGCUUUGUAUGUGGUUCUUUGCAGCCUCCUCCUUAUUUUUUGAGGCUGUCCCUGUGCACAUUUGCAUUUCAAUAAAGACCUAUCUUUUCACUUGGAGCUUGCAUCCUUUUCUUCUGGGUUUCUGUGAGUGUACGCUCCAGUCUGGAAACCCCCCUUUUAAAUUUCUCCAACGCAUACAGUAAUAGAACUAGUCCAUACUUUGAGAAAACAUACUUAGGCUAUACAUAUUCACAGAUAAUAGAAACUAAUCAUUCAGGAAAGAUUUUAAAGUCUUGGUUUAAGAGUCAUAUAUGUUGCUAUUACUCAGUAAAUGUGGCAUCUUUUCUAGGGUUGGAAAAGACUACUGUACAAUCUUUGCCUCAAAAGCAAAACAAUAUCCAAACUCUCAGUGGUGUGGAGGAUCAAAGGAAUUGGACCACGUUGCGGUUUAUUUCUGCCUAGAACUUGACUUCUGCAACUUGAUCUUACAGAAGGCUGGUUACUGAAUAUCAACAGAUGCUACGUGGCAGAUCUGAGCAUAUCGGUGCAUUUUGUGCAUCCCACGCUGUACCUGCACUGUACAACAUCUAGACAACAGUUCUCAAUAUAGCAUUAAAAGCAUUGACAAAA
RNAcentral lists this long non-coding RNA (2131 nucleotides) under Podarcis lilfordi (Lilford's wall lizard). Lineage: Eukaryota; Metazoa; Chordata; Lepidosauria; Squamata; Lacertidae. The record is from RNAcentral.